Arabidopsis lyrata subsp. lyrata is the source of this 561-nucleotide long non-coding RNA. RefSeq lists it as uncharacterized. NCBI's taxonomy places the organism in Eukaryota, Viridiplantae, Streptophyta, Magnoliopsida, Brassicales, Brassicaceae. The record is from RefSeq and is a predicted model, not a curated record. The transcript has 2 exons.
UUUGACUUGUGGACAGUGGAAAAAUAUGAACGUUGUUGAAACGGUAACAUUUUCUUACCGUUUGAAAAUAUAGUAUUUUUAUUGGAAAAAGAUCAGAUAAUGACUCUCUAUAAAUACUCCUUUCUUGAAUCAGAAAUCUGAAUCGUCUUUACUUGGUUUUAUUUCUUACAAAUGUCGAAUACAAUCUUUUUUUACUUCUCUUAGUUCUGUGAUUCCACUUGAGGAGCUGUCACUCAAACUUAUCUACAUUUCUCAUGAGCCGACAGAAACAAAACAUAAAGCAUCCUCUUACAAGAGGGUGGGUUGAAGAAGGGAAAACAAAGCCUUGGGAUGUCCAGCAUUUUCCAUCUUCUGCUUUGCCAGCCUUUAAAAUUGACCAGACUGUGUAUGUAGUAGCAAUUUUUGUAUUUUCCUUUUUCUUUCCGGAUUAAGACACAUGGAUGCAUGUAUGUAGAUGAUUGAUUAGGGUGUGAAUGUACAGAUGUGUAUGAUUAGGGUGUGAAUGUAUAGAUGUAUGUAUAGGAUGUGAAUGUAUAUCUAGUAGAGAAUGUAUAGGCUGCA